RNAcentral lists this unclassified non-coding RNA (246 nucleotides) under uncultured fungus. Its description in RNAcentral is "partial contains 5.8S ribosomal RNA, internal transcribed spacer 2, and large subunit ribosomal RNA". Lineage: Eukaryota; Fungi. The record is from RNAcentral.
AACGCACAUUGCGCCCCUUGGUAUUCCAUGGGGCAUGCCUGUUCGAGCGUCAUCUACACCCUCAAGCUCUGCUUGGUGUUGGGCGUCUGUUCCGCCUCCGCGCGGGACUCGCCCCAAAGGCAUUGGCAGCGGUCUCUUGCACCUCUCGCGCAGCACAUUGCGCUUCUCGAGGCGAGGCAGGCCGCGACCACGAAGCCACACAUCGUCUUUGACCUCGGAUCAGGUAGGGAUACCCGCUGAACUUAA